This 253-nucleotide ribosomal RNA is filed under the name uncultured bacterium. Its description in RNAcentral is "partial 16S ribosomal RNA". It matches the Rfam family "Bacterial small subunit ribosomal RNA", at positions 524 to 776 of the family's 1533-position model. The record is from RNAcentral.
UACGUAGGGUGCGAGCGUUAAUCGGAAUUACUGGGCGUAAAGCGUGCGCAGGCGGCGCCGCAAGUCAGGCGUGAAAUCCCCGAGCUUAACUUGGGAAUGGCGCUUGAAACUACGGUGCUGGAGUGUGGCAGAGGGAGGUGGAAUUCCACGUGUAGCGGUGAAAUGCGUAGAGAUGUGGAGGAACACCGAUGGCGAAGGCGGCAUCCUGGACCGGCAUUGACGCUGAGGAGCGAAAGCCAGGGGAGCAAACGGG